Molecule: transfer RNA, 70 nt
Filed under: Schistocerca serialis cubense
Lineage: Eukaryota; Metazoa; Arthropoda; Insecta; Orthoptera; Acrididae
Description: tRNA-Thr
Rfam family: tRNA
About the family: Transfer RNA (tRNA) molecules are approximately 80 nucleotides in length. Their secondary structure includes four short double-helical elements and three loops (D, anti-codon, and T loops).
Source: RNAcentral
GUUUUAAUAGUUUAAAAAAAAACGCCGGUCUUGUAAACCGGAGAUAAGUCUGGCCCCCGCUUUUAAAACU